This 412-nucleotide ribosomal RNA is filed under the name Carex pallescens. Its description in RNAcentral is "bacterial SSU rRNA". It matches the Rfam family "Bacterial small subunit ribosomal RNA", at positions 1150 to 1532 of the family's 1533-position model. The record is from RNAcentral. Lineage: Eukaryota; Viridiplantae; Streptophyta; Magnoliopsida; Poales; Cyperaceae.
UGCUGGUGUUAAGCCGGAGGAAGGCGAGGAUCACGUCAAGUCAUCAUGCCCCUUAUGCCCUGGGCGACUAUUACGUGCUACAAUGGACGGGACAAAGGUCGCGAUCAGAUCUCAGAUCACGCGCGCGAUCCCGCGAGGGUGAGCUAACUCCAAAAACCCGUCCUCAGUUCGGAUUGCAGACUGCAACUCGUCUGCAUGAAGCAGGAAUCGCUAGUAAUCGCUGGUCAGCCACACGGCGGUGAAUUCGUUCUCGGGUCUUGUACACACCGCCCGUCACACUAGGGGAGCUGGCCUUGUUUGAAAGCUUUAAAACCUUAACCGCAAGGAAGGGUAUGCAGAAGGCAAGGCGAGUGACUAAAGUGAAGUCGUAACAAGGUAGCCGUACUGGAAGGUGUGGCUGGAUCACCUCCUU